Peromyscus maniculatus bairdii (prairie deer mouse) is the source of this 988-nucleotide non-coding RNA. The record is from RefSeq and is a predicted model, not a curated record. NCBI's taxonomy places the organism in Eukaryota, Metazoa, Chordata, Mammalia, Rodentia, Cricetidae.
CACUGAAACUUGGUAGCCUGAGGGGAGACAGGCAGGAGUCCCAGCCAGCCAGGUUAUGGGUUGGAGAUUGUCUACUAGAAUACUGCAGCCACCCACGUAGACAACAAAUGCCACCACUCACUUUCAACUCUGCAGCUGGGUGCUGGAUGCAACCUUUUCUUUUAGGACUUCUGACCUGCCCUGCUUCUAGGAGUCCCUGGCUGGAGCAUCAGCCUGCUUGAGCAUGGGACACUGCCUGCUGCCCAGAUGCCCAGGCAGAGGAGAGCAAAGCAGGGCCUUCUCAAAUUUCCCCCAUACUCUUCAAGGCUCAUUCUGAAAUCCAAGUGCCUCCUGUGUUUUCUGCAUCCUCUGGCCUCCCUGCACCUACCCUGAGUCUUUUGUUUUGUGUAUUUGUGAUGGGGGUGGUGGAGUAGGAAAAAUGCUGCCGAGUGUGCCAGCAUUCCUCAGAGCCCACUGAAAGGGCACUGCCCGGUGGCUGUGGAGCUUUUUUCAUAGUUAUUAAUUGUGCUGGAAAUGUUAAUUUCCUGAAUGCAAAAUAUUGUGCCAGGGCUUUUCCUUUCUGAUGGCAGAAUUGGCCUUCAGGAUGACAACUGUCAGGGUGAAGGAGGGAUAUGGGAGCUUUCCUCUGCUGUGUACUCGCUUGCACUUGGAGCUGAUAGUCCCCGUGGUGUUCUCAAUGCUCAGCCAACAGGAAAUGGCAGUGGCCCAAAUAGAUCACUCUGAGCUCUAGAACAAUGACUAAGACAGACAUUGUACUCAGCACAGUACUAGGUACCUCUCACCUUAUCAUGGAAAGUGCCACCUACAGGAAGCUAUUGUCAUUUCAGCAGAAACAGGACAGGAAGUAUGACGGAACGGCAAGGAUGAAGGGUGGGUGUAACUCGACCAGCUGCUUCAAGCUGCUGCUGCCAGUCUGUCUUCCCCUUCACAGUUGACUGUAUCCCCAACCUGUAAGCCCAAAUAAACCCCUCCCUGGUUAAAAAAAUAA